AACUGCGAGUGAAGCGGGAAAAGCUCAAAUUUAAAAUCUGGCGGUCUUUGGCCGUCCGAGUUGUAAUUUAGAGAAGCGUCUUCCGCGUCGGACCGUGCACAAGUCUCCUGGAAUGGAGCGUCAUAGAGGGUGAGAAUCCCGUCUUUGGCACGGACUCCCGGUGCUUCUGUGAUGCGCUCUCAAAGAGUCGAGUUGUUUGGGAAUGCAGCUCAAAAUGGGUGGUGAACUCCAUCUAAAGCUAAAUAUUGGCGAGAGACCGAUAGCGAACAAGUACCGUGAGGGAAAGAUGAAAAGCACUUUGGAAAGAGAGUGAAACAGUACGUGAAAUUGUUGAAAGGGAAACGCUUGAAGUCAGUCGCGUCGGACGAGACUCAGCCUUGCCUCGGCUUGGUGUACUUCUCGGCUCGACGGGUCAGCGUCAAUUUCGCUCCUCGGAUAAUGGCAAGGGAAAGGUGGCACCUUUGCGGGUGUGUUAUAGUCUCGUGUCGCAUGCGAGGGGUGGGAUUGAGGAACUCAGCGCGCGCCUUUGGUGUCGGGGCUUUG
RNAcentral lists this ribosomal RNA (543 nucleotides) under Lactarius atromarginatus. RNAcentral describes it as "LSU rRNA". It matches the Rfam family "Eukaryotic large subunit ribosomal RNA", at positions 85 to 628 of the family's 3401-position model. Lineage: Eukaryota; Fungi; Basidiomycota; Agaricomycetes; Russulales; Russulaceae. The record is from RNAcentral.